RNAcentral lists this transfer RNA (72 nucleotides) under Cladosporium sphaerospermum UM 843. RNAcentral describes it as "tRNA-Pro (TGG) (tRNA-Pro-TGG-2-1)". It matches the Rfam family "tRNA". Rfam says of the family: Transfer RNA (tRNA) molecules are approximately 80 nucleotides in length. Their secondary structure includes four short double-helical elements and three loops (D, anti-codon, and T loops). Lineage: Eukaryota; Fungi; Ascomycota; Dothideomycetes; Cladosporiales; Cladosporiaceae. The record is from RNAcentral.
GGCCGUUUGGUUUAGUGGUAUAAUUCUUGCUUUGGGUGCAAGAGGCCCCGCGUUCGAUUCGCGGAACGGCCC